This 648-nucleotide ribosomal RNA is filed under the name uncultured bacterium. RNAcentral's name for it is "bacterial SSU rRNA". The stretch from base 1 to 558 matches the Rfam family "Bacterial small subunit ribosomal RNA", at positions 338 to 873 of the family's 1533-position model. The record is from RNAcentral.
CCUACGGGAGGCAGCAGUGGGGAAUUUUGGACAAUGGGCGCAAGCCUGAUCCAGCAAUGCCGCGUGCAGGAUGAAGGCCUUCGGGUUGUAAACUGCUUUUGUACGGAACGAAACGGCGAGCUCUAAUAAAGUUCGCUAAUGACGGUACCGUAAGGAUAAGCACCGGCUAACUACGUGCCAGCAGCCGCGGUAAUACGUAGGGUGCAAGCGUUAAUCGGAAUUACUGGGCGUAAAGCGUGCGCAGGCGGUGAUGUAAGACAGAUGUGAAAUCCCCGGGCUCAACCUGGGACCUGCAUUUGUGACUGCAUCGCUAGAGUACGGUAGAGGGGGAUGGAAUUCCGCGUGUAGCAGUGAAAUGCGUAGAUAUGCGGAGGAACACCGAUGGCGAAGGCAAUCCCCUGGACCUGUACUGACGCUCAUGCACGAACGACGUGGGGAGGACGAAACAGGAGUUAGUAUACCUACGGUAGUCCGACCGACCCGUAACCGACUGUCACUAGGUUGGUUGGGUUCGUUCUACUGACUCAGUAACGAAGACGUACGACGUGAGUGACCGCCGUGGGUAGGUUACGGCGCGAGGUUAGUAACGUUAAGUUAGAGUAGACGGCGUUGAGACGNGCCGACGGACGACGACGAGGGGAGGUUAGG